AAAAAAAAAAAUUCCCUUGGACAAUAGAUCGAACAUUUGAAAACAAACAACACAUCGUCAAUAAGAAACAUUCAUUUGUUUGCCCACUGAAAUGGAAUAGAGGGGCAAAGUAGUUGGUCCAUCCAGUUUUCCUCACAAAGCUCAAGCAUUUACAAUAAAAUUCCAUUUGGUUGAAGAAAACAUAGGAUACAAAACAAAAUUG
This 202-nucleotide unclassified non-coding RNA is filed under the name Hevea brasiliensis (rubber tree). Lineage: Eukaryota; Viridiplantae; Streptophyta; Magnoliopsida; Malpighiales; Euphorbiaceae. The record is from RNAcentral.